RNAcentral lists this ribosomal RNA (497 nucleotides) under uncultured bacterium. RNAcentral describes it as "partial 16S ribosomal RNA". It matches the Rfam family "Bacterial small subunit ribosomal RNA", at positions 28 to 507 of the family's 1533-position model. The record is from RNAcentral.
GACGAACGCUGGCGGCGUGCCUAAUACAUGCAAGUUGAGCGCUGAAGGUUGGUACUUGUACCAACUGGAUGAGCAGCGAACGGGUGAGUAACGCGUGGGGAAUCUGCCUUUGAGCGGGGGACAACAUUUGGAAACGAAUGCUAAUACCGCAUAAAAACUUUAAACACAAGUUUUAAGUUUGAAAGAUGCAAUUGCAUCACUCAAAGAUGAUCCCGCGUUGUAUUAGCUAGUUGGUGAGGUAAAGGCUCACCAAGGCGAUGAUACAUAGCCGACCUGAGAGGGUGAUCGGCCACAUUGGGACUGAGACACGGCCCAAACUCCUACGGGAGGGAGCAGUAGGGAAUCUUCGGCCAUGGACGAAAGUCUGACCGAGCAACGCCGCGUGAGUGAAGAAGGUUGUCGGAUCGGAAAACUCUGUUGGUAGAGAAGAACGUGGGUGAGAGUGGAAAGCUCAUCAAGUGACGGUAACUACACAGAAAGGGACGGCUAACUACGUG